Long non-coding RNA from Micropterus salmoides (largemouth bass), 837 nucleotides. RefSeq lists it as uncharacterized. The record is from RefSeq and is a predicted model, not a curated record. NCBI's taxonomy places the organism in Eukaryota, Metazoa, Chordata, Actinopteri, Centrarchiformes, Centrarchidae. The transcript is spliced from 3 exons.
ACCCUCCGUGGCCUCCAAGUGAACCUGCUAGCAGAUGACUGACGUCUUCAAAACCUGCAAUCAACUGACAGGUUUAAAGAGAUGAAAGAAUACAUAAGGAUACAUCCCUGGUCCUGGGACCCAGAACCAGGGAGCAGACCUGCUGUCGAGACGGGGGCUGAGGCCCGGGGAAUGGAGACUCCACCCCCAGGUGUUGGAGUUAUUAUGCGACAGUGCAAAGGUGAACCAGACACUGUUGACACUCCUCACUGUGUACACUGACCUGGUGCAGUCCGCUUCAGCCGAAGUGAAAGGUGGCUGUGGAUAGAUUUGUCGAUUUCUCUGAGGGUGGUGAUGGUACAGUGGAUAAGACGCAUGCCUUUUGUGUGAGAGACCCGGGUUUAAUUCCCCAUUGUGACACAUCCACCAAUGUGUCUCUGAGCAGAACACUUUAGCCCUAGUUCCUUCAGGGGCGUGCGACCUCUUACACAUAUAGUUAUUGUAAGUAUGUUUGACUAAAAGCAUCAGUUAAAUGUUAAUGUAACUUAUGUACAAACUCCUGAAAGCACUUCUGAACUGGCCGUUCAGGCCAGCUGUGAAGAGGUCCACAAGAUGAGGGAGGCACUCACUCACUCACUCACUCACUCACUCACUCACUGGGUGACAUCACUUAUUAUUCUCUAUACUAAUUAUUUGUAAAUGUACCUGCUUUGCGCCUGCCUCGACUUCUCCCUGUACUCAAUCACACACACACACCUUUACCUCUGGUCUCUCAUUGAAAAUACACAGUCUUUCCCCGCCUCUCUGUCUGCUCCCCUGAGUUUAUCCAUCAGCAGUAGGAUAUGUUUUAUAAAGUCA